AAGAGUUCCAGCUUCAUCACGGAGUUUCUCUCGGUUUGUGGGCUCAUCUAAAGUUUAUUGUCAACACGUUGAGAGAAGAGUGAGAGAGUGUUUGGAGAAAAACACCAGCUAAUCAUUAGCUCAGCAUGCUGGGAGAAGUUGAGCGUUUGCUGGCAGAAAGUUGGAGCAGAAAUGUCUUUUCAUUGUCCCUGCAGCUGUUUUUCUGCCUGCACCAAACCUCUACAGCCUCAUUUCUACUUGAAGUGAUAACAGGAAAUGGAUGAGAGCGAUCUGCUGCAGUAUCAGGGUCACAAUAAACUUUAUUGUCCAGCUGCUGUGGAUGAACACAUGAGAGGAAGUGAACUCCUACAAAGUCUCAUUUUAAUGAGUCUGGCUGCUGUAAAGUGAUGCACAGGAAGAUGUUAACAAAAACUAAUGAAACAGAUGAAAGUAAACAGUGUUCAUAUUUGAAAGCACAGAGAAUAAAAAUAUGUUGUGCUGGUUAAUGUGCAGGAGAGUGUGAAGAGUGUAAUAAUGUCUUCCUGUGUCAAACACAGCUGCAGUCAAAGCAGGAAGGAAAGGACUGAAACCACUGAUCAAUGACCAUCAGUACUGUGGGAAAUAUAAAUGUUGCAAUAUUAAAUAAGUGCCAUAUUAAUCAAGAGGUGAUAGAGGGUUUAAACUGGGAGACAUUUAAAUUAGUGUUUUGCUUGUAACUGCAUACUUGCCUGCGCAGAUUAGAACAGGAUGUGUCAUAUACGAUCAUGGGGCCUCACAACGAGAAACAGGAAACAGAUGGGGGUGAGAGAGUGUUGAAACCGUUAGUGAGGAACAAACAUCAAUACUAUAAAAGUAGUUGCAGACAACUGUCACUCACCGUCACUGGCGCAUGUUAUGUUAUCUGCUUACGCAUGAAGGGGCGUGAACCCUGACAUAUAAAACUGUGUAUCGAAGUGCUUCCUCUUUGAGAUCUACUGGACUACGCUGAGGGUGGUGUCGUGUACAUCUCCCACAUAUGUGCUUAAUAAAUAAUUGUUGUUGACUGGA
This is a long non-coding RNA of Oreochromis niloticus (Nile tilapia), 1026 nucleotides long. RefSeq lists it as uncharacterized. The transcript has 2 exons. NCBI's taxonomy places the organism in Eukaryota, Metazoa, Chordata, Actinopteri, Cichliformes, Cichlidae. The record is from RefSeq and is a predicted model, not a curated record.